AUUAGACGAAUCAUCUGGAAAGAUGAAUCAAAGAAGGUAAUAAUCCUGUAGUCGAAAAUGUUGUCUCUCUUGAGUGGAUCCUGAGUACGACGGAGCACGUGAAAUUCCGUCGGAAUCUGGGAGGACCAUCUCCUAAGGCUAAAUACUCUCUAGUGACCGAUAGUGAACCAGUACCGUGAGGGAAAGGUGAAAAGCACCCCGGAAGGGGAGUGAAAUAGAACCUGAAACCGUGUGCUUACAAGUAGUCAGAGCCCGUUAAUGGGUGAUGGCGUGCCUUUUGUAGAAUGAACCGGCGAGUUACGAUUUGAUGCAAGGUUAAGCAGUAAAUGUGGAGCCGUAGCGAAAGCGAGUCUGAAUAGGGCGUUUAGUAUUUGGUCGUAGACCCGAAACCAGGUGAUCUACCCUUGGUCAGGUUGAAGUUCAGGUAACACUGAAUGGAGGACCGAACCGACUUACGUUGAAAAGUGAGCGGAUGAACUGAGGGUAGCGGAGAAAUUCCAAUCGAACCUGGAGAUAGCUGGUUCUCUCCGAAAUAGCUUUAGGGCUAGCCUCAAGUGAUGAUUAUUGGAGGUAGAGCACUGUUUGGACGAGGGGCCCCUCUCGGGUUACCGAAUUCAGACAAACUCCGAAUGCCAAUUAAUUUAACUUGGGAGUCAGAACAUGGGUGAUAAGGUCCGUGUUCGAAAGGGAAACAGCCCAGACCACCAGCUAAGGUCCCAAAAUAUAUGUUAAGUGGAAAAGGAUGUGGCGUUGCCCAGACAACUAGGAUGUUGGCUUAGAAGCAGCCAUCAUUUAAAGAGUGCGUAAUAGCUCACUAGUCGAGUGACACUGCGCCGAAAAUGUACCGGGGCUAAACAUAUUACCGAAGCUGUGGAUUGUCCUUUGGACAAUGGUAGGAGAGCGUUCUAAGGGCGUUGAAGCAUGAUCGUAAGGACAUGUGGAGCGCUUAGAAGUGAGAAUGCCGGUGUGAGUAGCGAAAGACGGGUGAGAAUCCCGUCCACCGAUUGACUAAGGUUUCCAGAGGAAGGCUCGUCCGCUCUGGGUUAGUCGGGUCCUAAGCUGAGGCCGACAGGCGUAGGCGAUGGAUAACAGGUUGAUAUUCCUGUACCACCUAUAAUCGUUUUAAUCGAUGGGGGGACGCAGUAGGAUAGGCGAAGCGUGCGAUUGGAUUGCACGUCUAAGCAGUAAGGCUGAGUAUUAGGCAAAUCC
This 1209-nucleotide ribosomal RNA is filed under the name Staphylococcus aureus. Its description in RNAcentral is "partial 23S ribosomal RNA". It matches the Rfam family "Bacterial large subunit ribosomal RNA", at positions 328 to 1543 of the family's 2925-position model. The record is from RNAcentral. Lineage: Bacteria; Bacillati; Bacillota; Bacilli; Caryophanales; Staphylococcaceae.